ACGCUCGACACCUACGGGGGCAGCAGUAGGGAAUCUUCCACAAUGGGCGCAAGCCUGAUGGAGCAACACCGCGUGAGUGAAGAAGGGUUUCGGCUCGUAAAGCUCUGUUGUUGGAGAAGAACGUGCGUGAGAGUAACUGUUCACGCAGUGACGGUAUCCAACCAGAAAGUCACGGCUAACUACGUGCCAGUAGCCGCGGUAAUCUGAGCGGCUGGCAAGGC
Molecule: ribosomal RNA, 221 nt
Filed under: uncultured bacterium
Lineage: Bacteria
Description: partial 16S ribosomal RNA
Rfam family: Bacterial small subunit ribosomal RNA
Source: RNAcentral